RNAcentral lists this ribosomal RNA (348 nucleotides) under Dictyosphaerium ehrenbergianum. RNAcentral's name for it is "eukaryotic LSU rRNA". It matches the Rfam family "Eukaryotic large subunit ribosomal RNA", at positions 1 to 358 of the family's 3401-position model. Lineage: Eukaryota; Viridiplantae; Chlorophyta; Trebouxiophyceae; Chlorellales; Chlorellaceae. The record is from RNAcentral.
UCGACCUGAGCUCAGGCAAGAUUACCCGCUGAACUUAAGCAUAUCAAUAAGCGGAGGAAAAGAAACUAACCAGGAUUCCCCUAGUAACGGCGAGUGAACCGGGAAAAGCCCAGCUUGAAAAUCUCCAGCCCCGGGCUGGCGAAAUUGUAGUCUAUAGAAGCGUCCUCUGCGGAGCUCCGGGACCAGUCCCCUGGAAAGGGGCGUCAGAGAGGAUGAGAACUCCGUUGUGCCCGUCGUCUUCGCCCCACGAGCGCUUCCCAGAGUCGGUGGUUGGAUGCAGCUAAGGCAAGUUGUUAAUCCAUCUAGCUAAUACUGGACGGGAAUCGAAGCGAACAGGUUACCGUGAAG